Molecule: ribosomal RNA, 255 nt
Filed under: uncultured bacterium
Lineage: Bacteria
Description: partial 16S ribosomal RNA
Rfam family: Bacterial small subunit ribosomal RNA
Source: RNAcentral
UACGUAGGGCGCAAGCGUUGUCCGGAAUUAUUGGGCGUAAAGAGCUCGUAGGCGGCCUGUUACGUCUGCUGUGAAAUCCCGGGGCUUAACCCCGGGCGUGCAGUGGAUACGGGCAGGCUGGAGGCAGGCAGGGGAGGAACGGAAUUCCCGGUGUAGCGGUGAAAUGCGCAGAGUAUCGGGAGGAACACCGGUGGCGAAGGCGGUUCUCUGGGCCUGUACUGACGCUGAGGAGCGAAAGCGUGGGGAGCGAACAGG